This 324-nucleotide ribosomal RNA is filed under the name uncultured eukaryote. RNAcentral's name for it is "partial 18S ribosomal RNA". It matches the Rfam family "Eukaryotic small subunit ribosomal RNA", at positions 1470 to 1796 of the family's 1831-position model. The record is from RNAcentral.
CCCUUAGAUGUUCUGGGCCGCACGCGCGCUACACUGAUGCAUUCAACGAGUUUCUUCCUGGUCCGAGAGGAAUGGGUAACCUUUUGAAAGUGCAUCGUGAUAGGGAUAGACUAUUGCAAUUAUUGGUCUUCAACGAGGAAUUCCUAGUAGACGUAGUUCAUCAGACUGCAUCAAUUACGUCCCUGCCCUUUGUACACACCGCCCGUCGCUCCUACCGAUUGAAUGCUCAGGUGAGCCAUUCGGACUUUCAUCAUGCUGGUUUCCAGUUUUGAUGAAGGAAAGUCUUGCGAACCUUAUCAUUUAGAGGAAGGAGAAGUCGUAACA